UCCGCCUGGCUGCACUGCGUGUGUGUGGUGGGCUUCGACCUGGAGCUGGGCCAGGCCGUGGAGGUAAUUUAUCCUCAGCAUUCCAAACUUACUGACAGAGAAAAAACCAAUAUUUGCUAUUUGUCUUUUCCAGAUUCAAAUUCAGGUUGUCUUGGAGAUACCCAGUUUUGUUUUAGAUUUCGACAGUCUUCUGGGAGGAGGGUGUCGCUGCAUUGUCUCCUGGAUCAAUUUGACAAAGAUUUACCAGUUUACUUAAAGGUUGGAAAAGUAGUCAUGGGAAAAUGUCCAUGUGAGAGGAAACUUUAGAACUCAUUUAUUCAGUUACCGCUGACACCAUUCAGAAAUAUUUUGCUUUUGUUUUGCUACUAUAUUAUAUAGCUGAAUUUCCAAAGUGAGUCUUAUUCAUAAGGAUUCAGCAUC
Molecule: small RNA, 420 nt
Filed under: Pan troglodytes (chimpanzee)
Lineage: Eukaryota; Metazoa; Chordata; Mammalia; Primates; Hominidae
Description: retained intron
Source: RNAcentral